This 492-nucleotide ribosomal RNA is filed under the name uncultured bacterium. RNAcentral's name for it is "partial 16S ribosomal RNA". It matches the Rfam family "Bacterial small subunit ribosomal RNA", at positions 29 to 507 of the family's 1533-position model. The record is from RNAcentral.
AGUGAACGCUGGCGGUAGGCCUAACACAUGCAAGUCGAACGGCAGCACAGUAAGAGCUUGCUCUUACGGGUGGCGAGUGGCGGACGGGUGAGGAAUACAUCGGAAUCUACUUUUUCGUGGGGGAUAACGUAGGGAAACUUACGCUAAUACCGCAUACGACCUACGGGUGAAAGCAGGGGAUCUUCGGACCUUGCGCGAUUGAAUGAGCCGAUGUCGGAUUAGCUAGUUGGCGGGGUAAAGGCCCACCAAGGCGACGAUCCGUAGCUGGUCUGAGAGGAUGUUCAGCAACACUGGAACUGAGCCACGGUCCAGACUCCUACGGGAGGCAGCAGUGGGGAAUAUUGGACAAUGGGCGCAAUCCUGAUCCAGCAAGACCGCGUGGGUGAAGAAGGCCUUCGGGUUUUAAAGCCCUUUUGUUGGGAAAGAAAAGCAGCAGGUUAAUACCCCGCUGUUCUGACGGUACCCAAAGAAUAAGCACCGGCUAACUUCGUG